AUGCCCUGUUGGCUGGGAGGCCUCCUGGAGUCAGGAGCGAGGCUCCUGGAAUCCAGGCCCAUUUUCCCCUCCCUGGCCUGUGACCUUGGACCUCUUCACCCUCUGUAUCCCAGUUUCUCCUUGCUGUGAAAGAGGGCUGGUGAUUUCAUUUCCCUCUCCCACCCACCCACAUGCUCGUAUCUGCCCAUGCCUCCAAAGAGAGGCCUCAAGAGAGCAGGAGCUUUGCACUCCUAAUGUCCCUGGUGAUACUAUUUUACUGGACUUAGUUUUAUCACAACCAUCUUUACAUUAGCACAGGUGAGAAAUGUGGCCACACUAGACAGGGUGACAGAGGAAGAAGGUUUGGGUGGGGCUUGUCCACAGCCCCCAAGCAGCUUGGGGGAACUCCAAAUCCUACCUCCCCUAGGGGCACAUCCGGAGACGACCACCUGGCAUGGUCCCCACCUCCACAUACCCCCGGCAAUGCCAGAAGGAGUCUUUCAGGACUCCUGGGGCCAACACAGAAGGACACGGGCCACCUCUCAACACCUGGCUGUUGCCUCCCUCCAUCUGAUUCCCGGAAACAAAGCGCCCAGUUACCCAGGUGUGUGUUCGCUUUUUGGCUGUGGGCUUCUCGGGGCUUUGACAACUGCUGUGUUUGAACACCCACAGCCUCUCCCUGGCCCCCCGGGGAGGAAGCCGGGUGUCCGGUGUGGGGAGUCCCAGCCUUGGCUCCAGGACGGGCAUGGAGGGCUCUGUGAGCGAGAGCUGUCCACGCCCUCUCCUGGGCUUUCUGGUGGGUAGCCAUCCUGAGAAGGAAGACAGCUGGGGCCUUCCUGAUUGCUCCGCUUUCCUGCCCUGCCCUCCCUUUUCUUGCUGAGUUUGCUUUUGUUUCUCAGUAGCCCAGAAGGGAGGCAAGUUCAUCUGGGCGGGUGGGCAAGGGCUGGUGUCCCCAACCCUGGAGCUGUGGGCACAGAGACUUCGGCUCUUCCUAUCGCCUUGGCUUCUUCCUGAGCAAACACACAAAAAACAAAAAGGCCGGAGAANNNNNNNNNNNNNNNNNNNNNNNNNNNNNNNNNNNNNNNNNNNNNNNNNNNCUGCCUCCACAUACCACCUCCGGCCCUUUGAGCAGAGGGAGCUGUUGCUGACACCCUAUGGUCCUCGGAUGUCAUCUGCUGGGCAGCGCCUCUCAGCUUCCCGUCUCCAUCUCUGCCCUUUGCUUCUGGGACCCACCAGCCAACAUGCCCACAUCCCCCCUCCUGAGUCAAGGGAGUGGGGCUGACCCAAACUUUAAGAGAAAA
This 1280-nucleotide long non-coding RNA is filed under the name Capra hircus (goat). RNAcentral describes it as "lncRNA (ENSCHIG00010019148.1)". Lineage: Eukaryota; Metazoa; Chordata; Mammalia; Artiodactyla; Bovidae. The record is from RNAcentral.